RNAcentral lists this ribosomal RNA (252 nucleotides) under uncultured bacterium. Its description in RNAcentral is "partial 16S ribosomal RNA". It matches the Rfam family "Bacterial small subunit ribosomal RNA", at positions 524 to 776 of the family's 1533-position model. The record is from RNAcentral.
UACGAAGGGGGCUAGCGUUGCUCGGAAUCACUGGGCGUAAAGGGUGCGUAGGCGGGUCUUUAAGUCAGGGUGAAAUCCUGGAGCUCAACUCCAGAACUGCCUUUGAUACUGAAGAUCUUGAGUCCGGGAGAGGUGAGUGGAACUGCGAGUGUAGAGGUGAAAUUCGUAGAUAUUCGCAAGAACACCAGUGGCGAAGGCGGCUCACUGGCCCGGUACUGACGCUGAGGCACGAAAGCGUGGGGAGCAAACAGG